AACGAACGCUGGCGACAUGCCUAACACAUGCAAGUCGAACGAGACCUUCGGGUCUAGUGGCGCACGGGUGCGUAACGCGUGGGAACCUGCCCUUAGGUCCGGAAUAACGCCCCGAAAGGGGUGCUAAAACCGGAUAAUGUCCUCGGACCAAAGAUUGAACGCCUUUGGAUGGGCCUGCGUGGGAUUAGCUUGUUGGUAGGGUAAAAGCCUACAAAGGCGACGAUCCAUAGCUGGUUUGAGAGGAUGAUCAGCGACACUGGGACUGGGCCACGGCCAAGACUCCUACGGGAGGCAGCAGUGGGGAAUAUUGGACAAUGGGCGAAGGCCUGAUCCAGCAAUGCCGCGUGAGUGAUGAAGGCCUUAGGGUUGUAAAGCUCUUUUACCCGGGAUGAUAAUGACGGUACCGGGAGAAUAAGCUCCGGCUAACUCCGUG
RNAcentral lists this ribosomal RNA (433 nucleotides) under uncultured bacterium. RNAcentral describes it as "partial 16S ribosomal RNA". It matches the Rfam family "Bacterial small subunit ribosomal RNA", at positions 29 to 507 of the family's 1533-position model. The record is from RNAcentral.